GCUUGUGUCGAAAGCGUCUCAUGGAUGUUGAGCUCUGCUUCAGUCCACACAGGGAAGGCAGUGUAAGGAGCGCUGAAGGAGCAUUUGGAGAGAUGGAGAGAUGAAUGUGUGUUCUCCAGCAGGAGAAUGUGGAGGCCGGGAAUGAUGGGAAUGAUGGGAGAUCAGGAGGAGUAAAGAUGUGAAAGACAAACUCUGACCUGAUCCUGUGUCGCCCUGAAGAUUCACUGAUGUCACUUCCUGUAUCUGUACUGAACAGGAAGCUGGAAUCGGCUGGAGGAUGAACUCGGCGUUAUAACCU
Sinocyclocheilus grahami is the source of this 298-nucleotide long non-coding RNA. RefSeq lists it as uncharacterized. The record is from RefSeq and is a predicted model, not a curated record. NCBI's taxonomy places the organism in Eukaryota, Metazoa, Chordata, Actinopteri, Cypriniformes, Cyprinidae. The transcript is spliced from 3 exons.